This 494-nucleotide ribosomal RNA is filed under the name uncultured bacterium. Its description in RNAcentral is "partial 16S ribosomal RNA". It matches the Rfam family "Bacterial small subunit ribosomal RNA", at positions 28 to 507 of the family's 1533-position model. The record is from RNAcentral.
GACGAACGCUGGCGGCGUGCUUAACACAUGCAAGUCGAACGGUGAAGCGCCUUCCUUUUUGGUGGGUGUGGAUGAGUGGCGAACGGGUGAGUAACACGUGAGUAACCUGCCCCCUUCUUCUGGAUAACCGCAUGAAAGGGUGGCUAAUACGGGAUAUUCUGGGUCUGUCGCAUGAUGGGUCUGGGAAAGAUAUUGUUUCGGUGGGGGAUGGGCUCGCGGCCUAUCAGCUUGUUGGUGGGGUGAGGGCCUACCAAGGCGGCGACGGGUAGCCGGCCUGAGAGGGUGGACGGUCACACUGGGACGGAGACCCGGCCCAGCCUCCUACGGGAGGCAGCAGUGAGGAUUAUUGCACAGUGGGCGCCAGCCUGAUGCAGCGACGCCGCGUGAGGGAUGGAGGCCUUCGGGUUGUGAACCUCUUUCGCCAGUGAAGCAGGCCUGCCUCGUUUGUGGGUGGGUUGACGGUAGCUGGAUAAGAAGCGCCGGCUAACUACGUG